GCUUAGCUUAAGUUAAGGUCAAUAUAUUAUUAUGGUGGGUAAGCACUGAGCAAAAAACUCCUUUGAAUAAAUAAAAUAUCAUAAUUCUACAGAUUAUGUGCACUGGAACAAAAUAUGUAAGCGCCCAUGUAUUAUCAAUGAAACUGUGACAGACAUAUAAGUGAAUCUGAAUUAGUUGAAAACUCUGCAAGAAAUACUAUAUGAGAUCCAACCAUAUAUAGGAUAUAAAUAAAAGGGACAUAUCAAGGUUGCACACUUAGUUUUAAAAAAAAAAGGUUGCACACUUGAAUAUACAGAUUUAUAGAUUAAAAUUACAUCUAUGUUAAAGGCAGAAAUCAUAUUCACUAUUUUUUAUAAGGUUAGAUGUGCGAGAUAUACUAAGAUAACGCAAGAAAUAUGAUACCAAAAAAAACGCAGCCUUAUUGAUAUAUUUACUUGUUGGAAUGCUUUAUAUGAACUACUAGCGAGGCUAAAAAUAGCUAAACCUCAACAUCAGUUCCCAAGGGAAAAUAAAACUGGCAACUUGUGCCUGUUUGGUUCCAUCCAGAAUGAGGAGCCACCAGACAAAAGUACUACAAAUUACAGAAGAUGGUGAACUGGUACUUGUCUGCUGGUGCUACAAGGAACGGUGUCAUGUCCAUCCACGUUAGCCAUCACUCUGUUACAAGUUGAUGGCUGGAUGUACUACAGAAUGUCAGCCACAUUGCCAAAUUUAUAACAGGUCCACGUUACCAAUUUAUACUUCCACAUCAAGGUCAUCCAGUAGAAAUGUAGAAGGAAUGGCAACAAGGCCAAGCCAAAUGCUUUCAUUCUUGUUCAAGUAGGACAGAGAACUACAUGGCUUGCAGAACAGGUUCAUGUGGGAUGUCUACAUGUCUUCGAAGUCCCCUCCCAGGAAGGGACUUCGUGUCAUCCCUGGGCAUACUUUAGCAACAUGGUAGUGAGCAUUCAACACAGAUAAUG
This 963-nucleotide long non-coding RNA is filed under the name Setaria italica (foxtail millet). RNAcentral describes it as "long non-coding RNA (SITA_LNC002183)". Lineage: Eukaryota; Viridiplantae; Streptophyta; Magnoliopsida; Poales; Poaceae. The record is from RNAcentral.